CAGGUUCUCCAGGCAGGUUCAGUCACCAGGUUCUAGUCAGGUUCUCUUGCCAAUUUCUGUAGUCAGGUUCAGUCCAGGAUCUUUUGCCAUGUUCUCUCCAGCGAAGUUCUUCUGUCUCUAGUUCUGUGUUCUAAGUUCUGUGUUCUAAGUUCUGUGUCUUGCUGUUUUGUUACAUCUGUAUUUAUACCAGUUGAUUCAAUCCUAUCAAUCUCUAUUACAAAGGUUAGGGCGUUUCUUAUCUCCAUUCCAGGGAGUAAAGAUUAUGUAGCUUAAGCAUGA
Long non-coding RNA from Myotis daubentonii (Daubenton's bat), 279 nucleotides. RefSeq lists it as uncharacterized. The record is from RefSeq and is a predicted model, not a curated record. Lineage: Eukaryota; Metazoa; Chordata; Mammalia; Chiroptera; Vespertilionidae.